This 457-nucleotide ribosomal RNA is filed under the name uncultured bacterium. RNAcentral describes it as "bacterial SSU rRNA". It matches the Rfam family "Bacterial small subunit ribosomal RNA", at positions 29 to 531 of the family's 1533-position model. The record is from RNAcentral.
AACGGACGCUGGCGGCAGGCCUAACACAUGCAAGUCGAGCGAACCCUUCGGGGUUAGCGGCGGACGGGUUAGUAACGCGUGGGAAUAUACCCUUUGGUACGGAAUAGCCUCGGGAAACUGAGAGUAAUACCGUAUGUGCCCUUCGGGGAAGGAUUAUCGCCAAAGGAUUAGCCCGCGUUGGAUUAGAUAGUUGGUGGGGUAAGUGGCCUACCAAGUCUACGAUCCAUAGCUGGUUUGAGAGGAUGAUCAGCAACACUGGGACUGAGACACGGCCCAGACUCCUACGGGAGGCAGCAGUGGGGAAUCUUAGACAAUGGGCGCAAGCCUGAUCUAGCCAUGCCGCGUGGACGAUGAAGGCCUUAGGGUUGUAAAGUCCUUUCAGAUGGGAAGAUAAUGACGGUACCAUCAGAAGAAGCCCCGGCUAAACUCCGUGCCAGCAGCCGCGGUAAUGUAGUCG